RNAcentral lists this long non-coding RNA (211 nucleotides) under Chrysemys picta bellii (western painted turtle). RNAcentral describes it as "lncRNA (ENSCPBG00000028206.1)". Lineage: Eukaryota; Metazoa; Chordata; Testudines; Emydidae. The record is from RNAcentral.
AAUCAAUGAGCUUUAUUGUAUUCACACAAAACACCAGCCACUUCAGAUGUCCUUUGGAGCAGCGCUGAAAGCCAUCACACAUCAUGGUCACCGAGUCUUUCCCUCCAAGCUCCACAUCAGCCCAGGGUUGCUUGAAACUCUGACAACCUGGCCUGAGAUUUUGAAGUGCAAAACCUGCUCUCUUUUCGUCACAAUCCCUGUAAUGAAUUGA